RNAcentral lists this long non-coding RNA (636 nucleotides) under Homo sapiens (human). RNAcentral's name for it is "long non-coding RNA NONHSAT184974.1". Lineage: Eukaryota; Metazoa; Chordata; Mammalia; Primates; Hominidae. The record is from RNAcentral.
CUGCUGGAGACAUUGAAUCAAUUGAGCACACACACGCACGUAGUAGACAUCACUCGCACCACUGCCAAGAGCCCGUCGGCCCAACUUAUGGAGCAAGUGGCUCAGCUUAAGUCCCUGAGUGACACCGUCGAGAAGCUCAAGGAUGAGGUCCUCAAGGAGACAGUAUCUCAGCGCCCUGGAGCCACAGUACCCACUGACUUUGCCACCUUCCCUUCAUCAGCCUUCCUCAGGGCCAAGGAGGAGCAGCAGGAUGACACAGUCUACAUGGGCAAAGUGACCUUCUCAUGUGCGGCUGGUUUUGGACAGCGACACCGGCUGGUGCUGACCCAGGAGCAGCUGCACCAGCUUCACAGUCGCCUCAUCUCCUAAGCACUCCUUUCCCCUGCUGUCCCCUUCGACCCUCAGCCCUCUGGUGCCGCUCUGCCCGAUGCACAGCCACCUCAGCCAGCCCCCAGGUAGAAACGUGGGUUAAGCUCUUCCUGCCCCGUUCAGCUUCACUCCCACCCUUUCAGCGUCCUGCCCCUUCACCUUGACCCGGGUUCCCCCACUCCCAUUCCCUGGCCUCUGCCAUAAUUUGUUGUUCAACUGCUCCCUCCUUCCUGAGGGGCCUCAGGGCUUGUGGGGGGUAGGCUGAGA